Molecule: ribosomal RNA, 397 nt
Filed under: uncultured bacterium
Lineage: Bacteria
Description: partial 16S ribosomal RNA
Rfam family: Bacterial small subunit ribosomal RNA
Source: RNAcentral
AUACGUAGGUGACAAGCGUUAUCCGGAUUUACUGGGCGUAAAGGGCGUGUAGGCGGUCUUGCAAGUCAGAAGUGAAAUUCCUGAGCUCAACUCGGGCGCUGCUUCUGAAACUGCAGGACUUGAGUGCUGGAGGGGAUAGCGGAAUUCCUAGUGGAGCGGUAAAAUGCGCAGAUAUUAGGAAGAACACCGGUGGCGAAGGCGGCUUUCUGGACAGUAACUGACGCUGAGGCGCGAAAGCGUGGGGAGCAAACAGGAUUAGAUCCCCUGGUAGUCCACGCCGUAAACGAUGAAUACUAGAUGUAGGGGGUAUCGACUCCCUCUGUGCCGCAGUUAACACAAUAAGUAUUCCGCCUGGGGAGUACGGCCGCAAGGUUGAAACUUAAAUGAAUUGGCGGGG